UUAAGCGACUAAGCGUACACGGUGGAUGCCCUGGCAGUCAGAGGCGAUGAAGGACGUGCUAAUCUGCGAUAAGCGUCGGUAAGGUGAUAUGAACCGUUAUAACCGGCGAUUUCCGAAUGGGGAAACCCAGUGUGAUUCGUCACACUAUCAUUAACUGAAUCCAUAGGUUAAUGAGGCGAACCGGGGAACUGAAACAUCUAAGUACCCGAGGAAAAGAAAUCAACCGAGAUUCCCCCAGUAGCGGCGAGCGAACGGGGAGCAGCCCAGAGCCUGAAUCAGUGUGUGUGUUAGUGGAAGCGUCUGGAAAGGCGUGCGAUACAGGGUGACAGCCCCGUACACAAAAAUGCACAUGCUGUGAGCUCGAUGAGUAGGGCGGGACACGUGGUAUCCUGUCUGAAUAUGGGGGACCAUCCUCCAAGGCUAAAUACUCCUGACUGACCGAUAGUGAACCAGUACCGUGAGGGAAAGGCGAAAAGAACCCCGGCGAGGGGAGUGAAAAAGAACCUGAAACCGUGUACGUACAAGCAGUGGGAGCACGCUUAGGCGUGUGACUGCGUACCUUUUGUAUAAUGGGUCAGCGACUUAUAUUCUGUAGCAAGGUUAACCGAAUAGGGGAGCCGAAGGGAAACCGAGUCUUAACUGGGCGUUAAGUUGCAGGGUAUAGACCCGAAACCCGGUGAUCUAGCCAUGGGCAGGUUGAAGGUUGGGUAACACUAACUGGAGGACCGAACCGACUAAUGUUGAAAAAUUAGCGGAUGACUUGUGGCUGGGGGUGAAAGGCCAAUCAAACCGGGAGAUAGCUGGUUCUCCCCGAAAGCUAUUUAGGUAGCGCCUCGUGAAUUCAUCUCCGGGGUAGAGCACUGUUUCGGCAAGGGGGUCAUCCCGACUUACCAACCCGAUGCAAACUGCGAAUACCGGAGAAUGUUAUCACGGGAGACACACGGCGGGUGCUAACGUCCGUCGUGAAGAGGGAAACAACCCAGACCGCCAGCUAAGGUCCCAAAGUCAUGGUUAAGUGGGAAACGAUGUGGGAAGGCCCAGACAGCCAGGAUGUUGGCUUAGAAGCAGCCAUCAUUUAAAGAAAGCGUAAUAGCUCACUGGUCGAGUCGGCCUGCGCGGAAGAUGUAACGGGGCUAAACCAUGCACCGAAGCUGCGGCAGCGACGCUGAUGCGUUGUUGGGUAGGGGAGCGUUCUGUAAGCCUGCGAAGGUGUGCUGUGAGGCAUGCUGGAGGUAUCAGAAGUGCGAAUGCUGACAUAAGUAACGAUAAAGCGGGUGAAAAGCCCGCUCGCCGGAAGACCAAGGGUUCCUGUCCAACGUUAAUCGGGGCAGGGUGAGUCGACCCCUAAGGCGAGGCCGAAAGGCGUAGUCGAUGGGAAACAGGUUAAUAUUCCUGUACUUGGUGUUACUGCGAAGGGGGGACGGAGAAGGCUAUGUUGGCCGGGCGACGGUUGUCCCGGUUUAAGCGUGUAGGCUGGUUUUCCAGGCAAAUCCGGAAAAUCAAGGCUGAGGCGUGAUGACGAGGCACUACGGUGCUGAAGCAACAAAUGCCCUGCUUCCAGGAAAAGCCUCUAAGCAUCAGGUAACAUCAAAUCGUACCCCAAACCGACACAGGUGGUCAGGUAGAGAAUACCAAGGCGCUUGAGAGAACUCGGGUGAAGGAACUAGGCAAAAUGGUGCCGUAACUUCGGGAGAAGGCACGCUGAUAUGUAGGUGAAGCGACUUGCUCGUGGAGCUGAAAUCAGUCGAAGAUACCAGCUGGCUGCAACUGUUUAUUAAAAACACAGCACUGUGCAAACACGAAAGUGGACGUAUACGGUGUGACGCCUGCCCGGUGCCGGAAGGUUAAUUGAUGGGGUCAGCGCAAGCGAAGCUCUUGAUCGAAGCCCCGGUAAACGGCGGCCGUAACUAUAACGGUCCUAAGGUAGCGAAAUUCCUUGUCGGGUAAGUUCCGACCUGCACGAAUGGCGUAAUGAUGGCCAGGCUGUCUCCACCCGAGACUCAGUGAAAUUGAACUCGCUGUGAAGAUGCAGUGUACCCGCGGCAAGACGGAAAGACCCCGUGAACCUUUACUAUAGCUUGACACUGAACAUUGAGCCUUGAUGUGUAGGAUAGGUGGGAGGCUUUGAAGUGUGGACGCCAGUCUGCAUGGAGCCGACCUUGAAAUACCACCCUUUAAUGUUUGAUGUUCUAACGUGGACCCGUGAUCCGGGUUGCGGACAGUGUCUGGUGGGUAGUUUGACUGGGGCGGUCUCCUCCUAAAGAGUAACGGAGGAGCACGAAGGUUGGCUAAUCCUGGUCGGACAUCAGGAGGUUAGUGCAAUGGCAUAAGCCAGCUUGACUGCGAGCGUGACGGCGCGAGCAGGUGCGAAAGCAGGUCAUAGUGAUCCGGUGGUUCUGAAUGGAAGGGCCAUCGCUCAACGGAUAAAAGGUACUCCGGGGAUAACAGGCUGAUACCGCCCAAGAGUUCAUAUCGACGGCGGUGUUUGGCACCUCGAUGUCGGCUCAUCACAUCCUGGGGCUGAAGUAGGUCCCAAGGGUAUGGCUGUUCGCCAUUUAAAGUGGUACGCGAGCUGGGUUUAGAACGUCGUGAGACAGUUCGGUCCCUAUCUGCCGUGGGCGCUGGAGAACUGAGGGGGCUGCUCCUAGUACGAGAGGACCGGAGUGGACGCAUCACUGGUGUUCGGGUUGUCAUGCCAAUGGCACUGCCCGGUAGCUAAAUGCGGAAGAGAUAAGUGCUGAAAGCAUCUAAGCACGAAACUUGCCCCGAGAUGAGUUCUCCCUGACUCCUUGAGAGUCCUGAAGGAACGUUGAAGACGACGACGUUGAUAGGCCGGGUGUGUAAGCGCAGCGAUGCGUUGAGCUAACCGGUACUAAUGAACCGUGAGGCUUAACCUU
RNAcentral lists this ribosomal RNA (2897 nucleotides) under Escherichia coli. Its description in RNAcentral is "bacterial LSU rRNA". It matches the Rfam family "Bacterial large subunit ribosomal RNA". The record is from RNAcentral. Lineage: Bacteria; Pseudomonadati; Pseudomonadota; Gammaproteobacteria; Enterobacterales; Enterobacteriaceae.